ACCGCAUAACGUCGCAAGACCAAAGAGGGGGACCUUCGGGCCUCUUGCCAUCGGAUGUGCCCAGAUGGGAUUAGCUAGUAGGUGGGGUAACGGCUCACGUAGGCGACGAUCCCUAGCUGGUCUGAGAGGAUGACCAGCCACACUGGAACUGAGACACGGUCCAGACUCCUACGGGAGGCAGCAGUGGGGAAUAUUGCACAAUGGGCGCAAGCCUGAUGCAGCCAUGCCGCGUGUAUGAAGAAGGCCUUCGGGUUGUAAAGUACUUUCAGCGGGGAGGAAGGGAGUAAAGUUAAUACCUUUGCUCAUUGACGUUACCCGCAGAAGAAGCACCGGCUAACUCCGUGCCAGCAGCCGCGGUAAUACGGAGGGUGCAAGCGUUAAUCGGAAUUACUGGGCGUAAAGCGCACGCAGGCGGUUUGUUAAGUCAGAUGUGAAAUCCCCGGGCUCAACCUGGGAACUGCAUCUGAUACUGGCAAGCUUGAGUCUCGUAGAGGGGGGUAGAAUUCCAGGUGUAGCGGUGAAAUGCGUAGAGAUCUGGAGGAAUACCGGUGGCGGAGGCGGCCCCCUGGACGAAGACUGA
This 580-nucleotide ribosomal RNA is filed under the name uncultured Pseudomonadota bacterium. RNAcentral's name for it is "bacterial SSU rRNA". It matches the Rfam family "Bacterial small subunit ribosomal RNA", at positions 168 to 743 of the family's 1533-position model. Lineage: Bacteria; Pseudomonadati; Pseudomonadota. The record is from RNAcentral.